Molecule: microRNA precursor, 62 nt
Filed under: Cricetulus griseus (Chinese hamster)
Lineage: Eukaryota; Metazoa; Chordata; Mammalia; Rodentia; Cricetidae
Description: miRNA (ENSCGRG00001007237.1)
Source: RNAcentral
GGCCCGCGGAGCCCCCGGUGCGGCCAUGAACCGACCCCUGGCGGCGUCGGCGGAGGCGGAGG